GGCCGGGUGGCCUAGUGGUUCUAGGCGCUAUAGUCUGGAACGCUACGGCCGCAGGUUCGAAUCCUGCCUCGGUCA
Schistocerca piceifrons (Central American locust) is the source of this 75-nucleotide non-coding RNA. NCBI's taxonomy places the organism in Eukaryota, Metazoa, Arthropoda, Insecta, Orthoptera, Acrididae. The record is from the annotation of a RefSeq genome assembly.